Long non-coding RNA from Oncorhynchus tshawytscha (Chinook salmon), 540 nucleotides. The record is from Ensembl. NCBI's taxonomy places the organism in Eukaryota, Metazoa, Chordata, Actinopteri, Salmoniformes, Salmonidae.
UGGGGGUGUGAGGGAGGUUGUGAAUACUGUGAUAUUGAAGGGUGGGGGUGUGAGCGAGGUUGUGAAUACUGUGAUAUUAAAAAGAAGGGGGUGUGAGGGAGGUUGGAAUACUGUGAUAUUAAAGGGAGGUGGUGUGAGAGAGGUUGUGAAUACUGUGAUAUUGAAGGGUGGGGGUGUGAGGGAGGUUGUGAAUACUGUGAUAUUAAAGGGAGGUGGUGUGAGGGAGGUUGUGAAUACUGUGAUAUUAAAAAUAAAUGGGUGUGAGGGAGGUUGGAAUACUGUGAUAUUAAUGAGAGGGGUGUGAGGGAGGUUGGAAUACUGUGAUAUUAAUGAGAGGGGUGUGAGGGAGGUUGGAAUACUGUGAUAUUAAUGAGAGGGGUGUGAGGGAGGUUGUGAAUAUUGUGCUAUUAAAGGGAGGGGGUUAGAGAGAUUGUGAAUACUGUGAUAUAAAAUGUAAGGGGUAUGAGAGAGGUUUUGAAUAUUAUGAUAUAAAAGGGAGGGGUUGUUGUUGUGAAUACUGUGACAUUAAAGGGAUGGGGG